Molecule: transfer RNA, 73 nt
Filed under: Fusicatenibacter saccharivorans
Lineage: Bacteria; Bacillati; Bacillota; Clostridia; Lachnospirales; Lachnospiraceae
Also listed under: 3 other names
Description: tRNA-Val
Rfam family: tRNA
About the family: Transfer RNA (tRNA) molecules are approximately 80 nucleotides in length. Their secondary structure includes four short double-helical elements and three loops (D, anti-codon, and T loops). Further hydrogen bonds mediate the characteristic L-shaped molecular structure. tRNAs have two regions of fundamental functional importance: the anti-codon, which is responsible for specific mRNA codon recognition, and the 3' end, to which the tRNAs corresponding amino acid is attached (by aminoacyl-tRNA synthetases). tRNAs cope with the degeneracy of the genetic code in two manners: having more than one tRNA (with a specific anti-codon) for a particular amino acid; and 'wobble' base-pairing, i.e. permitting non-standard base-pairing at the 3rd anti-codon position.
Source: RNAcentral
GGGGUCUUAGCUCAGCUGGGAGAGCAUCUGCCUUACAAGCAGAGGGUCAUAGGUUCGAGUCCUAUAGGCCCCA